This is a long non-coding RNA of Nematostella vectensis (starlet sea anemone), 2049 nucleotides long. RefSeq lists it as uncharacterized. The record is from RefSeq and is a predicted model, not a curated record. NCBI's taxonomy places the organism in Eukaryota, Metazoa, Cnidaria, Anthozoa, Actiniaria, Edwardsiidae. The transcript is spliced from 2 exons.
UGGGACUUUUUCGCGACCUCUCAGUUGCGCGAGGCUGCAGAGUUGUUGACUUCACGUUCUAAAACUGUGGAAGUUUUACAAAAAGGGCUCAACUCUACCUCAAUUUCAAUUAGUAGAGUAUACAUUCAGGGGAUAGUAGAAAGUCAAAGCCGAUAAUUUGUCCAGAGAAGGAAGGAUUCUGACGCAAAGUCCUUGAGCUCGAAUGAGUAAGGAACGACCUUCUUCAAGAAACGUCUUCUCACGUCUUUGAAUGUGAAUUUGCUCUUACUUAACCUCUGUGAGGUUGAUGAUUUGCCAGUCGAUUACAGACUUUCAAGAUUUUUUGAGAUGCAUGAACCAGAACACUACCUUUAUAACCGGUCCAGUGCUCAGGACUAUGAUUUUACAUCAGUGAAAGAUUGCUGUACUUUAAGGUAAUAUUACAUCCAUUCCAGGGGUUUUAGAGUUUAGAUUUUUCCCCAUAGCAGAGAAGAGUACAUAGUUGCAAUUAUUUUUUAUUAUUUUACAGUGAAAUAGAGUUUUUAAACACUCUAUAGUGGAAUAUUCCUAUCAAAAAAGUGCCAAAUUUUUGGUUAAUAUUCAAAAAGACACUAUUUCACUACAACUGGUCAGAUUUCCAUAAGACUUGAUACAAAUGUUCUCCAAAAUGUUAUCUACAUCACCAUGCAAUUAUAUGUGCAUAUUAAUGAGCCCCUGGUUAAAUAUUAACUCUCAACGGAAAUAUUUUAAAACUCUUAAAUAUGCCCCCACCAUUUUUUACUCUUUCUAUUUAAAUUGAAGGCUUCAUAUUGCAUACACUCCGCAGGCCGGCUCAGCGGAGCCCCAUAGGUAUAGAAAUUGGUAAACUAGGCUUCUCAAUUUUUGUGGUCAUGACGUCACAUGUCAGGCCUGCCAGCUAUCUGCCCCCAUUAACAUGACAAGCCCAUGCGACCAGGCCAGCUUAUUGUUCGAUCGCUCUAAACCAAUAAGAGACAGAGUUCCAACAAGAACAGGUGGGGACUUGCAAAAGACGGGGAGGGGUGGUAAUCCUAUUCUGACUUUCGAAGUAAUGUGAAACUCAUGUUGGCAGAAAAGAAUUGACAAAAAAAAAGUGUUUGAGAAAAUGCAUAUGGUUAACCAGUUCCAAAUGGCCCGAUUGAAAAUGAGUGUUUGAAGAAUAUAUCUGUCUGUAAAGGAACUGCUUUAUAAAAGCUCGGAAUAUCUGCUCGAGUGUUCGUAAAAGCCAACUGUUAUUCUUCUUCAUCUGGUGCGGUGGUUGAUUUUAGAUGAAAGAAAAGGCUACAAUACCAGCAGCAUUUAUUAGGGAGCUGUCGAUGCUCUGCACUUCUAUUCUAAUUUAAGAUGUUAUGGAGCAAAAUCAAAGAAGAAUAGCUCACAAAAGUUUCCUCGUCAAUGAAACGCAAGAAACCGACAGCCCCCAUUAAUCCAGUUACCCUCGAGUGUAGCUGCCGUCUGUCUGUACGUAUUGACUGGGAAUACUUGUACCGUGAUCCCUGGACUGCAGGAAGACACUAAAAUCAAAUAAAAUACAUUUUUUCUUCGAAAACAGAACAGUGCGGUGUUUAGCUGGCCCAGCCUGAGUUAUACACUGUAUAACCCCCUCACACACAUUCAUUUCCCUCUUUUUCUCUGACAAAGGGCUAAUGCUCGAAACGUCAGCUGAUUUUACAAGGUGGUUUAAAGUUUAUCAUUACAUUCUAAACUGUCGUGUCGAAUUUAUUUGUUUAACUAAUGCGUCCAGCUUUUACAGUAGCUAGUUUAUCGUAACCAGUAAAGCUAUGACAGCCCGCAUGUAUUUUUAUAUAACAAUGCUCACCUUAACACAUCAAAAUGGAUUUCGCUGUCCACUGUCAGCCCUGGUGUCGUCCUUGUCACUUGAAGGUAGGCCCCAACCCACCAGUCGGCCUCUGUGUGAAUGGCACCGCGAGACAAAUAGCCUCUGAAUUGGUGCACAGGGCUACUCGUAACACCUGCCAUUCCAUCCAAGUUGACCGUCCAUAUAAAUGAAUGGAUAAACGCAUCCUCUUUCCUGUCUGCAACAUGCCCCUA